Molecule: ribosomal RNA, 389 nt
Filed under: uncultured bacterium
Lineage: Bacteria
Description: bacterial SSU rRNA
Rfam family: Bacterial small subunit ribosomal RNA
Source: RNAcentral
AUUGAACGCUGGCGGCAUGCCUUACACAUGCAAGUCGAACGGCAGCACGGGAGCAAUCCUGGUGGCGAGUGGCGAACGGGUGAGUAAUAUAUCGGAACGUGCCCAGUAAUGGGGGAUAGCCCGGCGAAAGCCGGAUUAAUACCGCAUACGACCUACGGGUGAAAGCGGGGGAUCGCAAGACCUCGCGUUAUUGGAGCGGCCGAUAUCAGAUUAGCUUGUUGGCGGGGUAAAAGCCCACCAAGGCGACGAUCUGUAGCUGGUCUGAGAGGACGACCAGCCACACUGGGACUGAGACACGGCCCAGACUCCUACGGGAGGCAGCAGUGGGGAAUUUUGGACAAUGGGCGCAAGCCUGAUCCAGCCAUGCCGCGUGUGGGAAGAAGGCCUGG